Molecule: ribosomal RNA, 440 nt
Filed under: uncultured bacterium
Lineage: Bacteria
Description: partial 16S ribosomal RNA
Rfam family: Bacterial small subunit ribosomal RNA
Source: RNAcentral
CCUACGGGGGGCAGCAGUGGGGAAUAUUGCACAAUGGGGGGAACCCUGAUGCAGCAAUGCCGCGUGGGUGAAGAAGCACUCCGGUGCGUAAAGCCCUGUCAGCAGGGAAGAAAAUGACAGUACCUGGACAAGAAGCCCCGGCUAACUACGUGCCAGCAGCCGCGGUAAUACGUAGGGGGCAAGCGUUAUCCGGAUUUACUGGGUGUAAAGGGAGCGCAGGCGGCGUGGCAAGUCAGAUGUGAAAACCCGGGGCCCAACCCCGGGAGUGCAUUUGAAACUGUUGGUCUUGAGUAUCGGAGAGGCAGGCGGAAUUCCUAGUGUAGCGGUGAAAUGCGUAGAUAUUAGGAGGAACACCAGUGGCGAAGGCGGCCUGCUGGACGACAACUGACGGUGAGGCGCGAAAGCGUGGGGAGCAAACAGGAUUAGAUACCCCAGUAGUC